RNAcentral lists this ribosomal RNA (809 nucleotides) under uncultured bacterium. RNAcentral describes it as "bacterial SSU rRNA". It matches the Rfam family "Bacterial small subunit ribosomal RNA", at positions 46 to 832 of the family's 1533-position model. The record is from RNAcentral. RNAcentral also lists the same sequence under 1 other name.
GGAUUAGGCAUGCAAGUCGAACGAGAAAGGUUUCGCAAGAGACCGAGUAAAGUGGCGGAAGGGCGAGUAAUGCAUAGAUAACCUGCCUCUGAGAUGGGGAUAACCUUUCGAAAGGAAGGCUAAUACCCAAUGAGACCACGGGUCGCAUGGCCUGUGUUUAAAGAUAGGGACCCGCAAGGGCCUUUUACUCAGGGAAGGGUUUAUGUCCUAUCAGCUAGUUGGUGGGGUAACGGCCCACCAAGGCUAUGACGGGUAGCCGACCUGAGAGGGUGACCGGCCGCACUGGGACUGAGACACUGCCCAGACUCCUACGGGAGGCUGCAGUCGAGGAUCUUCCGCAAUGCGCGAAAGCGUGACGGAGCGACGCCGCGUGGGUGAUGAAGGCCUUCGGGUUGUAAAGCCCUGUCGCCUGGGAAGAAUGGCGGGAGGUGAAUAGCCAUCUCGCUUGACGCUACCAGGGAAGGAAGCACCGGCUAAAUACGUGCCAGCAGCCGCGGUAAUACGUAUGGUGCGAACGUUGUUCGGAAUCACUGGGCAUAAAGAGCACGUAGGCGGUUGAGCAAGUCCAUUGUGAAAUCCCCCGGCUUAACCGGGGAACUGCAGUGGAUACUACUUGACUUGAGUGCAGGAGGGGAGAGUGGAAUUCCAGGUGGAGCGGUGAAAUGCGUAGAUAUCUGGAGGAACGCCGGUGGCGAAAGCGACUCUCUGGUCUGUAACUGACGCUGAGGUGCGAAAGCUAGGGGAGCAAACGGGAUUAGAUACCCCGGUAGUCCUAGCCCUAAACGAUGGGCACUAAGUAGAGGGGUUUU